This is a long non-coding RNA of Gasterosteus aculeatus aculeatus (three-spined stickleback), 435 nucleotides long. NCBI's taxonomy places the organism in Eukaryota, Metazoa, Chordata, Actinopteri, Perciformes, Gasterosteidae. The record is from Ensembl.
UUUCAGGCUAGAUGAAUGAGGUAGGAUGGAGUGGGAGGUGAAGGAAGGUGUUCUUACAGGUGUCUAGUCUCAGGCACGUUGAUGUUGACGUCCUGGAUUAUCUCCUUUUUCUUCUCUCUCCUAUUUCUUUGUCUCCUUGUCCUGCAUCUUGCGCCUCAUUUCGUCCAUCUCUGUCUGCCGGUCUUUUUUUUUUUUUUUUUUUAAGUACAGGCAGAUGUUUUCAAGGACUGUUUUGUUGUCCUCUAAUUCUGGGAUCCUGGUGAUACGGAUCUAAUGUUCUUUGGGGAUGGUAUCCUCUGUUUGUUGGAUCUUAGAGAUCAGGCACAAUACAGUGAACCCACUGCUUGUGACCAUCUCGUUGUGGAUAUCCUCUUGGCUCUUUUUCAAAUUCAAAGAUUUUAUUGUCAAAUAUACCCCCCUUGUGUAUUGAAAUUC